RNAcentral lists this ribosomal RNA (301 nucleotides) under uncultured bacterium. RNAcentral's name for it is "partial 16S ribosomal RNA". It matches the Rfam family "Bacterial small subunit ribosomal RNA", at positions 509 to 807 of the family's 1533-position model. The record is from RNAcentral.
CAGUCGCCGCGGUAAUACGAGGGGGGCAAGCGUUGUUCGGAAUUAUUGGGCGUAAAGGGUGCGUAGGCGGUUUGAUAAGUUUGAUGUGAAAUCUCUGGGCUCAACCCAGAGUCUGCACGGGAAACUGUCGGGCUUGAGAAUGGGAGAGGUGAGUGGAAUUUCCGGUGUAGCGGUGAAAUGCGUAGAUAUCGGAAGGAACACCUGUGGCGAAAGCGGCUCACUGGACCAUUUCUGACGCUGAUGCACGAAAGCUAGGGGAGCAAACAGGAUUAGAUACCCCCGUAGUCCCUGUCUCUUAUAC